GACGAACGCUGGCGGCGUGCUUAACACAUGCAAGUCGAACGGAAAGGCCCUGCUUGCAGGGUGCUCGAGUGGCGAACGGGUGAGUAACACGUGGGUGAUCUGCCCCUUACUUUGGGAUAAGCCUGGGAAACUGGGUCUAAUACUGGAUAGGACCAUGCUGUAGGUGGUGUGGUGGAAAGAUUAGUUUCGGUAAGGGAUGAGCUCGCGGCCUAUCAGCUUGUUGGUGGGGUAAUGGCCUACCAAGGCGUCGACGGGUAGCCGGCCUGAGAGGGUGGACGGCCACAUUGGGACUGAGAUACGGCCCAGACGCCUACGGGAGGCAGCAGUGGGGAAGAUUGCACAAUGGGCGCAAGCCUGAUGCAGCGACGCCGCGUGGGGGAUGACGGCCUUCGGGUUGUAAACUCCUUUCAGCCAUGACGAAGCCCUUGUGGUGACGGUAGUGGUAGAAGAAGCACCGGCUAACUACGUG
Molecule: ribosomal RNA, 469 nt
Filed under: uncultured bacterium
Lineage: Bacteria
Description: partial 16S ribosomal RNA
Rfam family: Bacterial small subunit ribosomal RNA
Source: RNAcentral